This 253-nucleotide ribosomal RNA is filed under the name uncultured bacterium. RNAcentral's name for it is "partial 16S ribosomal RNA". It matches the Rfam family "Bacterial small subunit ribosomal RNA", at positions 524 to 776 of the family's 1533-position model. The record is from RNAcentral.
UACGUAGGGUGCGAGCGUUAAUCGGAAUUACCGGGCGUAAAGCGUGCGUAGGCGGUUCGUUAAGUCAGCUGUGAAAGCCCCGGGCUCAACCUGGGAAUUGCGGUUGAAACUGGCGAACUAGAAUCUGGCAGAGGGGGGUGGAAUUCCACGUGUAGCAGUGAAAUGCGUAGAGAUGUGGAGGAACACCGAUGGCGAAGGCAGCCCCCUGGGCUGAGAUUGACGCUCAGGCACGAAAGCGUGGGGAGCAAACAGG